GGGGGUGAGCUAGGUUCGACGCAGGUAGUGCGGGCGAGAGCAGCGGGCCGAGGUCCCGUGGCCUCGUUAAACUGCGGGAAAAGCAAACUGCCAACGAAAAUCUCGCUCUAGCGGCCUAAAUAGGCCUCUACGCUCGCCGGAUCCGGCCUGCGGGAAUCGGUGAGUGUCAAAUAGCAGGCUAGCUCUGGGGUCUUCCCCCUGGAGAUCCCGGAUGCGAACGCAAUCAGGGUAGUCCGGAAGGGAUCCCGCCCGUGGGAGCCCGUCGGGACGAGGAGAAAUCGCGGGCUACGCUCGUAGAGACUGGCGCUUGCUCACUUGCGGACCCGGGUGCAACUCCCGGCACCUCCACCA
This 351-nucleotide transfer-messenger RNA is filed under the name Bacillota bacterium. It matches the Rfam family "transfer-messenger RNA". Rfam says of the family: Bacterial tmRNA, also known as 10Sa RNA or SsrA, is named for its dual tRNA and mRNA-like properties. Its role is to liberate the mRNA from a stalled ribosome. To accomplish this part of the tmRNA is used as a reading frame that ends in a translation stop signal. Lineage: Bacteria; Bacillati; Bacillota. The record is from RNAcentral.